GCGUCGAAAGUGCAACGGUUCAGCACGCGCUCCCAAAAAAAGUAAGAUCUGGGUUCGAAUCCCGUCUGACGCA
This is a non-coding RNA of Parelaphostrongylus tenuis, 73 nucleotides long. Lineage: Eukaryota; Metazoa; Nematoda; Chromadorea; Rhabditida; Metastrongylidae. The record is from the annotation of a GenBank genome assembly.